RNAcentral lists this ribosomal RNA (480 nucleotides) under uncultured bacterium. RNAcentral describes it as "partial 16S ribosomal RNA". It matches the Rfam family "Bacterial small subunit ribosomal RNA", at positions 28 to 523 of the family's 1533-position model. The record is from RNAcentral.
GACGAACGCUGGCGGCGUGCUUAACACAUGCAAGUCGGGCGGAAAGGCCCUUUCGGGGGUACUCGAGCGGCGAACGGGUGAGUAACACGUGAGUAAUCUGCCCCUGGCUUUGGGAUAGCCACCGGAAACGGUGAUUAAUACCGGAUACGACCACUUCUCGCAUGGGAUGGUGGUGGAAAGUUUUUCGGCCAGGGAUGUGCUCGCGGCCUAUCAGCUUGAUGGUGAGGUAAUGGCUCACCAUGGCUUCGACGGGUAGCCGGCCUGAGAGGGUGACCGCUCACGCUGGGACUGAGACACGGCCCAGACUCCUACGGGAGGCAGCAGUGGGGGAUAUUGGACAAUGGGCGGAAGCCUGAUCCAGCAACGCCGCGUGAGGGAUGACGGCCUUCGGGUUGUAAACCUCUUUCAGCAGGGACGAAGCGCAAGUGACGGUACCUGCAGAAGAAGCACCGGCCAACUACGUGCCAGCCGCCGCCGUAA